ACGCAGCGUAUUGGAAUUUCCAUGUCAUCCUUAGAUCAGAAUCAUAGACGGAGUGUGUGUCUCUUGUCGACAGAUCGACGCCGGUGACGGCAGAAGGAGACGCCCCAACGCGGGCAUCCAGCUCGACGUAUCGCUAGCCACGGUCGUCCUCCCUUGAUCCGGUGGUGCUCGGCCCAAUUCGCGCAGUGCCGUAGCUAGGGGUUGUUAGGGGUUCCCUGCAGACGGCCGGAAUUCACCCUUCUCUUCUUUCCCCCCGUAGUACCGUUUCCUAGCUGCCUACGGUCUAUAAUAUCUUGCAGCGAUUGCCGGAACCAAAACGCAUGGUAUCCGCUACUCGGUAUCGGGGAAAAAAGAGGGAGGAGGUAGGUCGUCAACUUUUCUGGCUCAUCGGACGACCUAAAUCCGAUCAAACGAAUUGAUACUCUUGUACGGAAUUAUUAGAACCUCCGAGAAGAACGUAAUCCACAAUGAAUCUUUCACCGAUAGGUAUACACAUAGAGGCAUACUACGUAUGACGAAUUUCACCUACAAGGGGAUUGAAAAAGACGAUGAAUAUUACAGCGGGCUUAAAAAUCUCCUCUCAAUGAGACCGAGAGACAAAGGUGAAACUCAUGAUUUUCUAAAUUCUCGUUCAGCUCACGGGGUGUUCGAAAAUUCUCUGGAUAAUCCUCGAACCGAGAUUCGUUUGUGUAUAUUUGUACACAUCGAAUGACUAGGGUGUUUAUUCGACAUGGACACGUAGUAUAAAUAAUCAAUUCACGAAGAAGGGGUUGGACUUUUUCCGCGGAGUUAGAAAAUAGGAAAAAAAAAACGGAGAGGGAAAAGAGGUGCGGAUGAGAUUUUUUUUUUUUUUUUUUCGGCUUUUCUAGCGAAAAAUUGAGCGAACUGUUGGGGCGAGGCGCCUGACGGGGGCACCGCAAGCCCUUCAGGGUGACCUGAAGCCGACGACGAGUUCCUAACGGCAAGGCGGGGGCCAAGGAAGCCCUUGAAAUCAAUAGCCAGCUACUACCGCCAUCGCCGCCCUGUUCUGCAUCCACAUACUACUGCCCUCGCGCCGCCUCCCACAUCGCUAUUCGCGAGACUCUCUGUCUAUAAUAUCAAGCUGCAGCACUGACUAAAAACCGGAUACCGCGCCGUUCGCAUUUUGUCACGAUACAUACCAUAUAAAACUCGACAGGGUUCUAAUAAUUCAGUACACGGUAAACAGUUCUCAAAGAGUUGAUCUUCCUGGCCGGUUUGCCGUAUAAAAAACGAGUUCGAAUUUGCAAAAAAAAAAGUUUUUUUCCACAUACUCCGUACACGCAACAUCAAUUGCAUGAUAUACGUGCAUCCGGAUAGAUUAGAAAACGUUCCUUUUGUUUGAUAAAUUUUUUUUUAUUUUCAUUUUUUUACUGUUUUCAUUUUUUUCGAUCCUAUGGAUAUCGAAAAUACGCUCAAUGUACAGAGAAAUAUUUUCCAAAUUUUUUAAUUUCACCGUUUUUUCCCUUUCAUUCCCGAAUCCCCACCCUUAAUUAUAAAUACAAUACGAGCUUUCUUCGAUUUUCGUUAGGGGGAAAAUCAAGCUGCACCGAUGAUUUUUCCAGGUCAAAAAAUCGUCUACCCGCAGCUUCGUUAAUUUUUAUAUAAUCGGUAGUGCACGCACGUUAUACCUAUACAGUUGAAAGUUCAGAGAACGCCCCGAAUUCGCGUGCACUAUAUGGUAUACUGCUAUACACAUCUAUGUACAUGAAAGGGUUGACUGUACGAUGAGAUAUUUAUUCCCUGGUAGAACGGAACUUAAGGUUUUCAGACCCUGUAAGCGUAUGAUAAUUAUAAAGAACUCGGGCAAGUGAAAAAUUUUGAUAAUUAUCACCGUUAGACAUUUAUUAAUUUUUACCUUAAAUAUUACGUUAUGGCAUUAUUCAUUAUAGGUACGUAUUAUACAACAGUUUAAAAUACGAUAGUACUAAUCAAUGAUUAUAAGUUUAAUUACAAUGAAAAAUUGAGAGCUGAAUUAAAAAUUGAAACAUAUUUAUGGAUUUAUAUUAUAUCGAACAUAUAAUACGAGCCUGCGCUAAUUAACAACUAUAUAUAGAUGGUAUGUAUAAUAUAAAUUCAAUAAUGUAUGUAUUCACGAUUUUAUAUAGUAUAUAGUGAGUAGCGUGAAUAAUUGUUCCUUCAUUGCUUAACAAUUAUUACAGCUUAAAUGGGAUAUCGAUCUGAAAUUGAAUUAUACAUCUAUUUUACACUGCAUUUCUUUACGGGAAUAGAUAGAAUUUUAUUAUUACUGAAAUAGGUCGUGAAAUAUAUUUGUAUGUUAUUCGUCGUGUGUUAAAUUUCUUUUCUUUUAUCCAGCUAUAAUUAUUAUGAAUAUUUCACGCUGAUCGAAAAAUUAAUUAGAAAUCGUAUAAUAAUCACGAUGUUCAACCGAUCUAAGUUAAAUUCGAAUCUCCUUCAAUUCGAAAGUAGGUUGUUAUGAAUCUUCAGUUAUCCUUUCCCCCUGGUUUGUGAAAAACUACCCCUGUAAAUAUGUUGCAGAAUAUCUCGUGCAUCGUUGUCGGAAUUACGACGAUAAAAGUAUUCUGGUUUUAUCAUCGAUAAAUUUAUUCACCGGUAAUACGAAAGAUGAUACGAUUAGCUAAAGUUCUAAUAUUAAAAAAUAUUAAAACGUAAAAAAUAAACGCGACCUUAUGUAUGUAGUAGGUAGUACAACACCGCGCUUCAACCUAUGUAUGCAUAUUCCAAUAUUCCUUCAAGAUUUUUUCAAUAUUACACGAAGAAUGAGCCAACAUAUUGAUGUAACGUCAUCAUCCCUGCACGUAUCCAAAGAAGUUGACCCGUCGGUAGGUAUAAUUCUAUAAUCAACGUUGUUAUCUUACUUUUUACGUUAAUUUAAUUAAUAAUUAUAUCUAUCAUGCCCUAGUUAUAGC
Molecule: long non-coding RNA, 2909 nt
Organism: Athalia rosae (coleseed sawfly)
Lineage: Eukaryota; Metazoa; Arthropoda; Insecta; Hymenoptera; Athaliidae
Exons: 2
Source: RefSeq, a predicted model, not a curated record